GUAAGUGGCAUUGAAUGAUUUACA
Molecule: non-coding RNA, 24 nt
Filed under: Arabidopsis thaliana (thale cress)
Lineage: Eukaryota; Viridiplantae; Streptophyta; Magnoliopsida; Brassicales; Brassicaceae
Source: RNAcentral